CCCGGGCCUUGUACACACCGCCCGUCACACCACGAAAGUUGGCAAUACCCGAAGCCGGUGGCCUAACCCGCAAGGGAGGGAGCCGUCGAAGGUAGUGUCGAUGAUUGGGGUG
RNAcentral lists this ribosomal RNA (112 nucleotides) under uncultured bacterium. Its description in RNAcentral is "partial 16S ribosomal RNA". It matches the Rfam family "Bacterial small subunit ribosomal RNA", at positions 1373 to 1482 of the family's 1533-position model. The record is from RNAcentral.